AGCCAAAAACAGAGGCAAUUUCAUAGUCAAUGAAGUUCUACUGAGACGUGAUUUUUGCUGGGUAAAAACUUAAAACCAAUACCCCGCAAGGAUGACUUGAAAUACAGUCAGCCAAGGCAAUUUUUGUUAGUCUCUUAGGAGA
Molecule: small nuclear RNA, 142 nt
Organism: Centropristis striata (black sea bass)
Lineage: Eukaryota; Metazoa; Chordata; Actinopteri; Perciformes; Serranidae
Product: U4 spliceosomal RNA
Exons: 1
Source: RefSeq, a predicted model, not a curated record